AUCAAAGGGAGCUUGCUCCCUAAGGUUAGCGGCGGACGGGUGAGUAACACGUGGGCAACCUGCCUAUAAGACUGGGAUAACUUCGGGAAACCGGAGCUAAUACCGGAUAAUUUCUUUCUCCACAUGGAGGAAGGUUGAAAGACGGCUCACGCUGUCACUUACAGAUGGGCCCGCGGCGCAUUAGCUAGUUGGUGAGGUAACGGCUCACCAAGGCAACGAUGCGUAGCCGACCUGAGAGGGUGAUCGGCCACACUGGGACUGAGACACGGCCCAGACUCCUACGGGAGGCAGCAGUGGG
This 298-nucleotide unclassified non-coding RNA is filed under the name uncultured bacterium. RNAcentral describes it as "partial contains 16S ribosomal RNA and 16S-23S ribosomal RNA intergenic spacer region". It matches the Rfam family "Bacterial small subunit ribosomal RNA", at positions 68 to 358 of the family's 1533-position model. The record is from RNAcentral.